Molecule: ribosomal RNA, 501 nt
Filed under: uncultured bacterium
Lineage: Bacteria
Description: partial 16S ribosomal RNA
Rfam family: Bacterial small subunit ribosomal RNA
Source: RNAcentral
AUUGAACGCUGGCGGCAUGCCUUACACAUGCAAGUCGAACGGCAGCACGGGUGCUUGCACCUGGUGGCGAGUGGCGAACGGGUGAGUAAUACAUCGGAACGUACCUUAUCGUGGGGGAUAACGCAGCGAAAGCUGUGCUAAUACCGCAUAAGCCCUGAGGGGGAAAGCGGGGGAUCGAAAGACCUCGCGCGAUUAGAGCGGCCGAUGCCUGAUUAGCUUGUUGGUGGGGUAAAAGCCCACCAAGGCGACGAUCAGUAGCUGGUCGGAGAGGACGAUCAGCCACACUGGGACUGGGACAAGGCCCAGACUCCUACGGGAGGCAGCAGUGGGGAAUUUUGGACAAUGGGGGCAACACUGAUCCAGCAAUGCCGCGUGAGUGAAGAAGGCCUUCGGGUUGUAAAGCUCUUUUGUCAGGGAAGAAACACCGGCUCUAACACAGUCCGGGAAUGACGGUACCUGAAGAAUAAGCACCGGCUAACUACGUGCCAGCCGCCGCCGUAA